GAAUUAAACCCACAUGAGGAUCAUUGUUGGCAUCAAUGAUGAUUCAAAACUAAGGUGGCGAAGGAUGGGCAUGCGUACUAUUAGUUAGUUGGUGAGGUAACGGCUACACCAAGACGACGAUAGUUAGGGGAUCUGAGAGGAUUGUCCCCCACACUGGUACUGAGACACGGACCAGACUCCUACGGGAGGCAGCAGUAAGGGAUAUUGGGCAAUGGGGGCAACCCUGACCCAGCCAUGCCGCGUGAAGGAAUACAGCCCUAUGGGUUUUAAACUUCUUUUGCCGGGGGAUAAAGACUGUUACGAGUAACAGUUUGAAGGUACCCGGAGAAUAAGCAUCGGCUAACUCCGUGC
RNAcentral lists this ribosomal RNA (351 nucleotides) under uncultured Elizabethkingia sp. RNAcentral's name for it is "bacterial SSU rRNA". It matches the Rfam family "Bacterial small subunit ribosomal RNA", at positions 160 to 508 of the family's 1533-position model. Lineage: Bacteria; Pseudomonadati; Bacteroidota; Flavobacteriia; Flavobacteriales; Weeksellaceae. The record is from RNAcentral.